GUGUCAGCAGCCGCGGUAAUACGUAGGGCGCAAGCGUUGUCCGGAAUUAUUGGGCGUAAAGAGCUCGUAGGCGGCUUGUCACGUCGGGUGUGAAAGCCCGGGGCUUAACCCCGGGUCUGCAUUCGAUACGGGCUAGCUAGAGUGUGGUAGGGGAGAUCGGAAUUCCUGGUGUAGCGGUGAAAUGCGCAGAUAUCAGGAGGAACACCGGUGGCGAAGGCGGAUCUCUGGGCCAUUACUGACGCUGAGGAGCGAAAGCGUGGGGAGCGAACAGGAUUAGAUACCCCCGUAGUCC
RNAcentral lists this ribosomal RNA (292 nucleotides) under uncultured bacterium. Its description in RNAcentral is "partial 16S ribosomal RNA". It matches the Rfam family "Bacterial small subunit ribosomal RNA", at positions 505 to 796 of the family's 1533-position model. The record is from RNAcentral.